This 497-nucleotide ribosomal RNA is filed under the name uncultured bacterium. RNAcentral's name for it is "partial 16S ribosomal RNA". It matches the Rfam family "Bacterial small subunit ribosomal RNA", at positions 28 to 507 of the family's 1533-position model. The record is from RNAcentral.
GAUGAACGCUGGCGGCGUGCCUAAUACAUGCAAGUCGAGCGAACAGACGAGGAGCUUGCUCCUUUGACGUUAGCGGCGGACGGGUGAGUAACACGUAGGUAACCUACCUAUAAGACUGGGAUAACUUCGGGAAACCGGAGCUAAUACCGGAUAAUAUUUCGAACCGCAUGGUUCGAUAGUGAAAGAUGGCUUUGCUAUCACUUAUAGAUGGACCUGCGCCGUAUUAGCUAGUUGGUAAGGUACAGGCUUACCAAGGCAACGAUACGUAGCCGACCUGAGAGGGUGAUCGGCCACACUGGAACUGAGACACGGUCCAGACUCCUACGGGAGGCAGCAGUAGGGAAUCUUCCGCAAUGGGCGAAAGCCUGACGGAGCAACGCCGCGUGAGUGAUGAAGGUCUUCGGAUCGUAAAACUCUGUUAUUAGGGAAGAACAAACGUGUAAGUAACUGUGCACGUCUUGACGGUACCUAAUCAGAAAGCCACGGCUAACUACGUG